RNAcentral lists this ribosomal RNA (433 nucleotides) under uncultured bacterium. Its description in RNAcentral is "partial 16S ribosomal RNA". It matches the Rfam family "Bacterial small subunit ribosomal RNA", at positions 29 to 507 of the family's 1533-position model. The record is from RNAcentral.
AACGAACGCUGGCGGCAUGCCUAACACAUGCAAGUCGAACGAGACCUUCGGGUCUAGUGGCGCACGGGUGCGUAACGCGUGGGAACCUGCCUUUAGGUUCGGAAUAACUCAGAGAAAUUUGAGCUAAUACCAGAUGAUGUCUUCGGACCAAAGAUUUAUCGCCUUUAGAUGGGCCCGCGUUGGAUUAGCUAGUUGGUGGGGUAAAGGCCUACCAAGGCGACGAUCCAUAGCUGGUCUGAGAGGAUGAUCAGCCACACUGGGACUGAGACACGGCCCAGACUCCUACGGGAGGCAGCAGUGGGGAAUAUUGGACAAUGGGCGAAAGCCUGAUCCAGCAAUGCCGCGUGAGUGAUGAAGGCCCUAGGGUUGUAAAGCUCUUUUACCCGAGAUGAUAAUGACAGUAUCGGGAGAAUAAGCUCCGGCUAACUCCGUG